CCGGGCUCAACCUGGGAACUGCAUCUGAUACUGGCAAGCUUGAGUCUCGUAGAGGGGGGUAGAAUUCCAGGUGUAGCGGUGAAAUGCGUAGAGAUCUGGAGGAAUACCGGUGGCGAAGGCGGCCCCCUGGACGAAGACUGACGCUCAGGUGCGAAAGCGUGGGGAGCAAACAGGAUUAGAUACCCUGGUAGUCCACGCCGUAAACGAUGUCGACUUGGAGGUUGUGCCCUUGAGGCGUGGCUUCCGGAGCUAACGCGUUAAGUCGACCGCCUGGGGAGUACGGCCGCAAGGUUAAAACUCAAAUGAAUUGACGGGGGCCCGCACAAGCGGUGGAGCAUGUGGUUUAAUUCGAUGCAACGCGAAGAACCUUACCUGGUCUUGACAUCCACGGAAGUUUUCAGAGAUGAGAAUGUGCCUUCGGGAACCGUGAGACAGGUGCUGCAUGGCUGUCGUCAGCUCGUGUUGUGAAAUGUUGGGUUAAGUCCCGCAACGAGCGCAACCCUUAUCCUUUGUUGCCAGCGGUCCGGCCGGGAACUCAAAGGAGACUGCCAGUGAUAAACUGGAGGAAGGUGGGGAUGACGUCAAGCCAUCAUGGCCCUUACGACCAGGGCUACACACGUGCUACAAUGGCGCAUACAAAGAGAAGCGACCUCGCGAGAGCAAGCGGACCUCAUAAAGUGCGUCGUAGUCCGGAUUGGAGUCUGCAACUCGACUCCAUGAAGUCGGAAUCGCUAGUAAUCGUGGAUCAGAAUGCCACGGUGAAUACGUUCCCGGGCCUUGUACACACCGCCCGUCACACCAUGGGAGUGGGUUGCAAAAGAAGUAGGUAGCUUAACCUUCGGGAGGGCGCUUACCACUUUGUGAUUCAUGACUGGGGUGAAGUCGUAACAAGGUAACCGUAGGGGAACCUGCGGUUGGAUCACCU
RNAcentral lists this ribosomal RNA (925 nucleotides) under Escherichia coli KTE47. Its description in RNAcentral is "bacterial SSU rRNA". It matches the Rfam family "Bacterial small subunit ribosomal RNA", at positions 603 to 1528 of the family's 1533-position model. Lineage: Bacteria; Pseudomonadati; Pseudomonadota; Gammaproteobacteria; Enterobacterales; Enterobacteriaceae. The record is from RNAcentral.